Molecule: non-coding RNA, 113 nt
Organism: Coniochaeta pulveracea
Lineage: Eukaryota; Fungi; Ascomycota; Sordariomycetes; Coniochaetales; Coniochaetaceae
Source: the annotation of a GenBank genome assembly
GCCCGCUUAGCUUAGUGGUAAAAGCGUGCCUGCAGUGCCGUCUCCUAAGAAAAUAUCCUUUAGAACAGCAUCUGUUAAAGGUGAGAUCAUCAGUUCGAUCCUGAUAGUGGGUA